GCAUUUAACAAUGACUACAAAACGAAGUUUGUUUGUGCGGUUGGUACCAUGUCGCUGUCUACGAGGGGAAGAGGAGACAGUCACUACUCUAGAUUAUUCUCAUUGCAGCUUGGAACAAGUUCCCAAAGAGAUUUUCACCUUUGAAAAAACUUUAGAGGAGCUCUAUUUAGAUGCUAAUCAGAUUGAAGAGCUUCCAAAGCAACUUUUUAAUUGUCAGUCUCUACAUAAACUAAGUUUGCCAGACAAUGAUUUAACAACAUUACCAGCUUCCAUUGCAAAUCUGAUUAAUCUCAGGGAACUGGAUGUCAGCAAAAAUGGAAUACAAGAAUUUCCAGAAAAUAUUAAAAAUUGUAAAGUUUUGACAGUUGUGGAGGCCAGUGUAAACCCUAUUUCUAAGCUCCCUGAUGGGUUUUCUCAGCUGCUAAACCUAACCCAGUUAUAUCUGAAUGAUGCUUUCCUUGAAUUCUUACCAGCUAAUUUUGGCAGAUUAACUAAACUCCAGAUACUAGAACUUAGAGAAAAUCAGUUGAAAAUGUUGCCUAAGUAAGUCAGUGUGUGGCUUUUCCAAAUCCAGUUAAGACUUUUUCAUUUUA
Molecule: long non-coding RNA, 593 nt
Filed under: Rattus norvegicus (Norway rat)
Lineage: Eukaryota; Metazoa; Chordata; Mammalia; Rodentia; Muridae
Description: long non-coding RNA NONRATT016064
Source: RNAcentral